Molecule: ribosomal RNA, 511 nt
Filed under: Rhodobacterales bacterium HD-O-02-3
Lineage: Bacteria; Pseudomonadati; Pseudomonadota; Alphaproteobacteria; Rhodobacterales
Description: bacterial SSU rRNA
Rfam family: Bacterial small subunit ribosomal RNA
Source: RNAcentral
AACGAACGCUGGCGGCAGGCCUAACACAUGCAAGUCGAGCGCAGUCCUUCGGGACCGAGCGGCGGACGGGUUAGUAACGCGUGGGAACUUACCCCUUUCUACGGAAUAGCCUCGGGAAACUGAGAGUAAUACCGUAUAAGCCCUUCGGGGGAAAGAUUUAUCGGGAAGGGAUUGGCCCGCGUUAGAUUAGAUNGUUGGUGGGGUAAUGGCCUACCAAGUCUACGAUCUAUAGCUGGUUUUAGAGGAUGAUCAGCAACACUGGGACUGAGACACGGCCCAGACUCCUACGGGAGGCAGCAGUGGGGAAUCUUAGACAAUGGGCGCAAGCCUGAUCUAGCCAUGCCGCGUGUGUGAUGAAGGUCUUAGGAUCGUAAAGCACUUUCGCCAGGGAUGAUAAUGACAGUACCUGGUAAAGAAACCCCGGCUAACUCCGUGCCAGCAGCCGCGGUAAUACGGAGGGGGUUAGCGUUGUUCGGNAAUUACUGGGCGUAAAGCGUACGUAGGCGGAUCA